GUAAAAUAAUGAAGAGGGUAACUUUAACUUUUAAAAUAGAAAGUCUAAUAGUGUACUAUUUCACACAAGUCUCUCGCUUCUCUCCUCAACCAAAAGAAAAAAACUCUCUCACCUCUUUUUUUUUUCUCUCAAACCCUCUCUGUAUCUAAUAAUCAUUUCUUGCCUCAUCUUCAAUCAUCGUUGGUCUGAUCUUCAACUAGUGGAAUCUGAAAAUCCAUUAAAAUCUAGGACAAAGCCUUUUGUUUGUACGAAUAUGAGGUAUCGAAGAAGAGCAAUAGGUGAGGAAGACGUGAGAAAUAAGUGAGUGACGAAUUGAUUGACUCUGAAGCUAUUGAUUUAGUGUUGAGUUAUGAAAUACACUAUUGCGUCUUUAUAUAUAUACUAAAAGAUUAACAAGAUGAUUGAAGAUACCAUAGUGAAAAAAAUAGUUAAAUAUGUAUGAGGAUUGUGUAUUGUGUAUGUAUUGCAUGGUGGGGUUAGCCAUAUGGAUGUGUUGUGGUGUGAUGGGGGUGCAUGACAGGGUGGUGAAACUUUUUUUAUUAGUUACUACUUUAAUGGAUUAUAAUUGGAGUAGCACAUAGCAGUUUCUUAAACACACAUAUAAAAA
Humulus lupulus (European hop) is the source of this 607-nucleotide long non-coding RNA. RefSeq lists it as uncharacterized. The record is from RefSeq and is a predicted model, not a curated record. The transcript is spliced from 3 exons. Lineage: Eukaryota; Viridiplantae; Streptophyta; Magnoliopsida; Rosales; Cannabaceae.